UAAAGAAACAAAAGAGCCCUCUCAAC
RNAcentral lists this non-coding RNA (26 nucleotides) under Mus musculus (house mouse). Lineage: Eukaryota; Metazoa; Chordata; Mammalia; Rodentia; Muridae. The record is from RNAcentral.